Molecule: ribosomal RNA, 253 nt
Filed under: uncultured bacterium
Lineage: Bacteria
Description: partial 16S ribosomal RNA
Rfam family: Bacterial small subunit ribosomal RNA
Source: RNAcentral
UACAGAGGUGGCAAGCGUUGUUCGGAAUUACUGGGCGUAAAGGGCGCGUAGGCGGCCCUGUAAGUCCUGUGUGAAAUCCCCCGGCUCAACUGGGGAACUGCACAGGAUACUGCUUGGCUAGAGUUCGGGAGAGGGAAGCGGAAUUCCGGGUGUAGCGGUGAAAUGCGUAGAUAUCCGGAGGAACACCGGUGGCGAAGGCGGCUUCCUGGACCGACACUGACGCUGAGGCGCGAAAGCUAGGGUAGCAAACGGG